GAUGAAGAACCGCAGCGAAAUGCGAUAAGUAAUGUGAAUUGCAGAAUUCAGUGAAUCAUCGAAUCUUUGAACGCACAUUGCGCCCGCCAGUAUUCUGGCGGGCAUGCCUGUUCGAGCGUCAUUACAACCCUCAGGCCCCCGGGCCUGGCGUUGGGGAUCGGCGGAGCCCCCCGUGGGCACACGCCGUCCCCCAAAUGCAGUGGCGGUCCCGCCGCAGCUUCCAUCGCGUAGUAGCUAACACCUCGCGACUGGAGAGCGGCGCGGCCACGCCGUAAAACACCCAACUCUUCUGAAGUUGACCUCGAAUCAGGUAGGAAUACCCGCUGAACUUAAGCAUAUCAAUAAGCGGAGGA
RNAcentral lists this unclassified non-coding RNA (353 nucleotides) under soil metagenome. RNAcentral describes it as "partial contains 5.8S ribosomal RNA, internal transcribed spacer 2, and large subunit ribosomal RNA". The stretch from base 1 to 121 matches the Rfam family "5.8S ribosomal RNA", at positions 35 to 154 of the family's 154-position model. The record is from RNAcentral.